RNAcentral lists this ribosomal RNA (576 nucleotides) under uncultured bacterium. Its description in RNAcentral is "bacterial SSU rRNA". It matches the Rfam family "Bacterial small subunit ribosomal RNA", at positions 338 to 916 of the family's 1533-position model. The record is from RNAcentral.
CCUACGGGAGGCAGCAGUGAGGAAUAUUGCGCAUGGAGGCACUCUGACGCAGCCAUGCCGCGUGCAGGAAGAAGGCGCUACGCSUUGUAAACUGCUUUUAACCGGGAAGAAACCCCAGGACGUGUCCUGGGUUGACGGUACCGGAGGAAUAAGCACCGGCUAACUUCGUGCCAGCAGCCGCGGUAAUACGAAGGGUGCAAGCGUUAUCCGGAUUCAUUGGGUUUAAAGGGUGCGUAGGUGGGGCGUUAAGUCAGUGGUGAAAGCCUACAGCUCAACUGUAGAAUUGCCAUUGAUACUGGCGCUCUUGAGUGCGCUUGAAGUAGGCGGAAUGUGCCGUGUAGCGGUGAAAUGCUUAGAUAUGGCACAGAACACCAAUUGCGAAGGCAGCUUACUAAGGCGAUACUGACACUGAGGCACGAAAGCGUGGGGAUCGAACAGGAUUAGAUACCCUGGUAGUCCACGCCGUAAACGAUGAUCACUCGUCAUUGGCGAUAUACGGUCAGUGACCUAACGAAAGCGUUAAGUGAUCCACCUGGGGAGUACGAUCGCAAGAUUGAAACUCAAAGGAAUUGACGG